This is a long non-coding RNA of Alosa sapidissima (American shad), 139 nucleotides long. RefSeq lists it as uncharacterized. Lineage: Eukaryota; Metazoa; Chordata; Actinopteri; Clupeiformes; Clupeidae. The transcript has 3 exons. The record is from RefSeq and is a predicted model, not a curated record.
GUUAGGUUUCAUGUGCCUAGAUCUAGGAAAAUUGGAAAUGGGCUAGAAUGGGUUCUUGGCCAGACGGACUUUCAGAGCGAAUCUCGAAUUUGCCGGAAGUACGUCUGGGUGUUUCCCAGGCUAAAAUUGAAUGAUGAAU